UCGGGUAGGAUAAGAUUCCACGUAUGCUAGAUUCUUCUCCUUGGGAAACCCUGGAUGGGGUCAAGCUAUCAUGCGGUGGCCGGUAGCAAUACCUGCCUUUAGGAUGAUUCACUUAAACCCGUGUCUACCUUCUUUGUUGCUUUGGCGGGCCGCCUCACGGCGUUGGCUCCGGCUGACCGUGCCCGCCAGAGAUCUAAACUCUUUUGUUUUAGUGACGUCUGAGUACUAUAUAAUAGUUAAAACUUUCAACAACGGAUCUCUUGGUUCUGGCAUCGAUGAAGAACGCAGCGAAAUGCGAUAAGUAAUGUGAAUUGCAGAAUUCAGUGAAUCAUCGAAUCUUUGAACGCACAUUGCGCCCCUUGGUAUUCCGAGGGGCAUGCCUGUUCGAGCGUCAUUAUGACCAAUCAAGCCUGGCUUGGUGUUGGGGUUCGCGGUUUCGCGGCCCUUAAAAUCAGUGGCGGUGCCGCACGGCUCUAAGCGUAGUAAUUUUCUCGCUAUGGUGUCCGGGUGGUUGCUUGCCAGAACCCCUAUUUUUACGGUUGACCUCGGAUCAGGUAGGGAUACCCGCUGAACUUAAGCAUAUCAAUAAGCGGAGGA
Molecule: ribosomal RNA, 597 nt
Filed under: Sordariomycetes sp. EF33
Lineage: Eukaryota; Fungi; Ascomycota; Sordariomycetes
Description: eukaryotic LSU rRNA
Rfam family: 5.8S ribosomal RNA (bases 241-394)
Source: RNAcentral